This 251-nucleotide ribosomal RNA is filed under the name uncultured prokaryote. Its description in RNAcentral is "partial 16S rRNA". It matches the Rfam family "Bacterial small subunit ribosomal RNA", at positions 525 to 775 of the family's 1533-position model. The record is from RNAcentral.
ACGGAGGGUGCAAGCGUUAACCGGAAUUACUGGGCGUAAAGGGCACGCAGGCGGUUUGAUAAGUCAGAUGUGAAAUCCCCAUGCUAAACCUGGGAACUGCAUCUGAUACUGGUAAACUAGCGUAACGUCGAGGCGGGUAGAAUGCCAGGUGUAGAGGUGAAAUGCAUAGAUAUCUGGAAGAAUAUCGAUCGCGAAGGCAGCCUCCUAGGAUGAGACUGACGCUGAGGAUCGAAAGCGAGGGGAGCAAACAG